GAGUUUGAUCGUGGCUCAGAACGAACGCUGGCGGCGUGCCUAACACAUGCAAGUCGAGCGCGAAUAGGGGCAACCCUUAGUAGAGCGGCGCACGGGUGCGUAACACGUGGAUAAUCUGCCUGGAUGCCCGGGAUAACCAGUCGAAAGAUUGGCUAAUACCGGAUAAGCCCACGGCCUCUUCGGAGGCUGAGGGAAAAGGUGGCCUCUGUAUACAAGCUAUCACAACCAGAUGAGUCCGCGGCCCAUCAGCUAGUUGGCGGGGUAAUGGCCCACCAAGGCGACGACGGGUAGCUGGUCUGAGAGGACGAUCAGCCACACUGGAACUGAGACACGGUCCAGACUCCUACGGGAGGCAGCAGUGGGGAAUUUUGCGCAAUGGGCAAAAGCCUGACGCAGCAACGCCGCGUGUGUGAUGAAGGUCUUUGGAUUGUAAAGCACUUUCGACCGGGACGAAAACCCGUUGGCUAACAUCCAACGGCUUGACUGUACCGGGAGAAGAAGCACCGGCUAACUCUGUGCCAG
Molecule: ribosomal RNA, 522 nt
Filed under: uncultured bacterium
Lineage: Bacteria
Description: bacterial SSU rRNA
Rfam family: Bacterial small subunit ribosomal RNA
Source: RNAcentral